RNAcentral lists this ribosomal RNA (433 nucleotides) under uncultured bacterium. RNAcentral's name for it is "partial 16S ribosomal RNA". It matches the Rfam family "Bacterial small subunit ribosomal RNA", at positions 29 to 507 of the family's 1533-position model. The record is from RNAcentral.
AACGAACGCUGGCGGCAUGCCUAACACAUGCAAGUCGAACGAGACCUUCGGGUCUAGUGGCGCAAGGGUGCGUAACGCGUGGGAACCUGCCCUUAGGUUCGGAAUAACUCCCCGUACGGGGUGCUAAUACCGGAUACUGUCUUCGGACCAAAGAUUUCUCGCCUUUGGUUGGGCCCGCGUUGGAUUAGCUAGUUGGUAGGGUAAAAGCCUACCAAGGCGACGAUCCAUAGCUGGUCUGAGAGGAUGAGCAGCCACACUGGGACUGAGACACGGCCCAGACUCCUACGGGAGGCAGCAGUGUGGAAUAUUGGACAAUGGGCGAAAGCCAGAUCCAGCAAUGCCGCGUGAGUGAUGAAGGCCUUAGGGUUGUAAAGCUCUUUUACCCGGGAUGAUAAUGACAGUACCGGGAGAAUAAGCUCCGGCUAACUCCGUG